Molecule: ribosomal RNA, 448 nt
Filed under: uncultured bacterium
Lineage: Bacteria
Description: bacterial SSU rRNA
Rfam family: Bacterial small subunit ribosomal RNA
Source: RNAcentral
GUCCAGACUCCUACGGGAGGCAGCAGUGGGGAAUAUUGCACAAUGGGGGAAACCCUGAUGCAGCGACGCCGCGUGAGCGAUGAAGUAUUUCGGUAUGUAAAGCUCUAUCAGCAGGGAAGAAGAUGACGGUACCUGACUAAGAAGCCCCGGCUAACUACGUGCCAGCAGCCGCGGUAAUACGUAGGGGGCAAGCGUUAUCCGGAUUUACUGGGUGUAAAGGGAGCGUAGACGGCGAUGCAAGCCAGAUGUGAAAGCCCGGGGCUCAACCCCGGGACUGCAUUUGGAACUGUGUGGCUGGAGUGUCGGAGAGGCAGGCGGAAUUCCUAGUGUAGCGGUGAAAUGCGUAGAUAUUAGGAGGAACACCAGUGGCGAAGGCGGCCUGCUGGACGAUGACUGACGUUGAGGCUCGAAAGCGUGGGGAGCAAACAGGAUUAGAUACCCUCGUACG